UUGCACCCUGAUAUCAGACAGGACUACCCGCCUGACCUUAAGCAUAUACUCAUA
Molecule: ribosomal RNA, 54 nt
Filed under: Globisporangium ultimum
Lineage: Eukaryota; Oomycota; Peronosporomycetes; Pythiales; Pythiaceae
Description: partial 28S ribosomal RNA
Source: RNAcentral